UCCGCUUCAAGACAGUAGUGGCGGGAUAGACGACUGUGUAUUCUCAAUUCUUAGAUGCAUGUUAUCCAAUCGAAAUGUAUAGGUCUAUGCUGCCUUAUGUAGCAUAUUAUUCCACAGAAAAUAAACUGCCCAUAGGCUAUGUUUUGAAUUGAGAUUCAAAUGAAUUUCUGCUAGACAGACUUCCUCUGCCUCCAGAAACUUUGUAUGAUCAGCCCAGAGAAGUUCUGGGAUCCAUGAAAAGAUGGAAACCUGCAGAUGACAUGCAACAGCUUUCAACAACCAUCAAACUCCCUACCACCACCAGCUAUAAUAACCUCAAGGCUGUCAUUGGAACUCCUUUCCCCCACCGGGGGAGAUUGGAUGCCAGCAGCCCCGCGUAGGUCUACCUGCCAUCACAUGAUCUGGCUCCGAUUAUCUUCCCUCGGAGAAGAAUCCAUUCCCCAAACUUUUUAAUAAAAUGUCAUAUUGCA
This is a long non-coding RNA of Salvelinus sp. IW2-2015, 470 nucleotides long. RefSeq lists it as uncharacterized. NCBI's taxonomy places the organism in Eukaryota, Metazoa, Chordata, Actinopteri, Salmoniformes, Salmonidae. The record is from RefSeq and is a predicted model, not a curated record.